This 88-nucleotide ribosomal RNA is filed under the name Salmonella enterica subsp. enterica serovar Schwarzengrund. RNAcentral's name for it is "partial 23S ribosomal RNA". The record is from RNAcentral. Lineage: Bacteria; Pseudomonadati; Pseudomonadota; Gammaproteobacteria; Enterobacterales; Enterobacteriaceae.
ACGUUGAUAGGCCGGGUGUGGAAGCGCAGCGAUUCGUUUAGCUAACCGGUACUAAUGAAGCGGGAGGCUUAACCUUACAACGCCGAAG